CAGGCACUGAAAGAGAAGAUGGACUAGGAGGAAGAGGAGAAAUGAAAACGAAGAGAAGGAAGAAGAGGAAAACAAGAUAAAGGACGGUCGAGGCACGGCUGAAGGGGCCUGCGAGCGUCGGGGCAAGAGAGACAGGUUCCACACGGGACCAUCAACGCUUCAACAAAACAAAACAUUACAUUUUUCUUACUUAAACCGUCUCUUGUUUGAUUGACUGGUGUGUUUUUCCAUAGCUUGUUGUAUCAUUUCAAGGCCCAAAUUACAAGCUCC
This is a long non-coding RNA of Eriocheir sinensis (Chinese mitten crab), 270 nucleotides long. RefSeq lists it as uncharacterized. Lineage: Eukaryota; Metazoa; Arthropoda; Malacostraca; Decapoda; Varunidae. The transcript has 3 exons. The record is from RefSeq and is a predicted model, not a curated record.